RNAcentral lists this long non-coding RNA (1167 nucleotides) under Betta splendens (Siamese fighting fish). RNAcentral describes it as "lncRNA (ENSBSLG00000006018.1)". Lineage: Eukaryota; Metazoa; Chordata; Actinopteri; Anabantiformes; Osphronemidae. The record is from RNAcentral.
CUGGAUUUUAGGAUUAGAUGCAUGAUGCACGCAGCGUCCAGAUACUAGAGACGUUUUCCUGGUUAUUCUCAACAUAAUCACUGUUUAACCAGGGGUAGUUACAGGAACAUACAGCUUCCAAAACCUAAAGUACACGUGCAGAUCUAUUAUCAGUAAAAUAUACUUAGUGGUAUCGUGCAGACAUAAAUAUUAGCGUGAUUACAGAAAUGAACAGAUUUUGAAGUGUAGAGUUUUUAUAUUUUAUACCCUUUAUCAAACAUAUUCCAUAUUAAGUGUAGUAUUUAAAUAAAUAAACAGCUUCACCGUCGUUCAGAGGACAUUCAUCUUCCUUCGAGUACAGUAGUGAUUUUCUUUUCCUCAGUUUCACAUCUCCCACUUUGUUCCCAAACUUAAAACGCUCUCGGAUGUUCUCCAUCACAACAUGUUGUCUAAAACACCUGCCGCCAGCAUCGCUCACCUGUCGGCCAGGUGACAAAUGACUUCACACUCAGUGUCUGCUUUAAAUCAGACACUGUGAUCUUAAACGACCGCAAACUAAGGUAAGCGAGUCACAAUAUAAUUCCGUUUGGUUAACCAACCCUUUAACCAAGUUUAACUACGUAAAAUAAACGACGCAAAUAGUUUUAACUUCCAACUAGCUUUACUGAGCGCAACUGUUUUAGCUGCGCUUCCGCAUUCACACGUAGUUCCGGUUGAACAUUGGUUCUGGAAUUCAAAAUAAAAGUUCGACAUUUUAAGCUUAUGAGAUACAGAUGUGCGCACAGCAGCUCAAGGGUCGAGUGCUUUCCCGCAUAGAUUAUGAUUACGUCUAUCUAGCUCUAUAUAUAAAUGCACUCUUCAACAUUAUGUAUUUAAACUACUUACAGACCUUUACUAGAGCCUCGAGUAAUGCUAGUGCAAUACAUCAGGAGGUCUGUUAGCUGCCUGCUGUCCACCAGGGGGCGAAACGCGACUUGUUCUUAUUUGCAGAACAAUAGAAGAAGACGACGAAUAGCUCCUGCUAGCAAGGUCCUUGUGGCCUCUGGUUCCCUUUAUUUUACCUUCACCUGCUUCUAUUUGCAUGUGUUAGUUAUACAGUUCGAAUUAUCCGCUGCUCUGAAUCACUUUGUGUGUCAAGGUGUGCGUUGUGGAUUCUUCAGUCAUGCUUCGACAAAGAAUACCUUUUAA